This 314-nucleotide ribosomal RNA is filed under the name uncultured soil bacterium. Its description in RNAcentral is "bacterial SSU rRNA". It matches the Rfam family "Bacterial small subunit ribosomal RNA", at positions 26 to 371 of the family's 1533-position model. The record is from RNAcentral.
AGAACGAACGCUGGCGGCAGGCUUAACACAUGCAAGUCGAGCGCCCCUCACGGGGAGCGGCAGACGGGUGAGUAACGCGUGGGAAUCUACCCAACUCUACGGAAUAACUCAGGGAAACUUGUGCUAAUACCGUAUACGCCCUUCGGGGGAAAGAUUUAUCGGAGUUGGAUGAGCCCGCGUUGGAUUAGCUAGUUGGUGAGGUAAAGGCUCACCAAGGCGACGAUCCUUAGCUGGUCUGAGAGGAUGAUCAGCCACACUGGGACUGAGACACGGCCCAGACUCCUACGGGAGCAGCAGUAGGGAAUAUUGGACAA